UAUGCCGGGAACUCAUGCGAGACUGCCGGUGUCAAACCGGAGGAAGGUGGGGAUGACGUCAAGUCAUCAUGCCCNUUAUGCCCUGGGCUGCACACGUGCUACAAUGGCCGGUACAGAGGGCUGCGAUACCGCGAGGUGGAGCGAAUCCCAAAAAGCCGGUCUAAGUUCGGAUUGGAGGCUGCAACUCGCCUUCAUGAAGUCGGAGUCGCUAGUAAUCGCGAAUCAGCAAUGUCGCGGUGAAUACGUUCCCGGGCCUUGUACACACCGCCCGU
This 272-nucleotide ribosomal RNA is filed under the name uncultured bacterium. RNAcentral's name for it is "partial 16S ribosomal RNA". It matches the Rfam family "Bacterial small subunit ribosomal RNA", at positions 1127 to 1397 of the family's 1533-position model. The record is from RNAcentral.